RNAcentral lists this ribosomal RNA (468 nucleotides) under uncultured Pseudomonadota bacterium. Its description in RNAcentral is "bacterial SSU rRNA". It matches the Rfam family "Bacterial small subunit ribosomal RNA", at positions 8 to 522 of the family's 1533-position model. Lineage: Bacteria; Pseudomonadati; Pseudomonadota. The record is from RNAcentral.
AGAGUUUGAUCAUGGCUCAGAACGAACGCUGGCGGCAGGCUUAACACAUGCAAGUCGAACGCAUCCUUCGGGGUGAGUGGCAGACGGGUGAGUAACGCGUGGGAACGUGCCCUUCAGUUCGGGAUAACCCAGGGAAACUUGGGCUAAUACCGGAUACGUGCGAGAGCAGAAAGAUUUAUCGCUGAAGGAUCGGCCCGCGUCUGAUUAGCUAGUUGGUGGGGUAAUGGCCCACCAAGGCGACGAUCAGUAGCUGGUCUGAGAGGAUGAUCAGCCACAUUGGGACUGAGACACGGCCCAAACUCCUACGGGAGGCAGCAGUGGGGAAUAUUGGACAAUGGGCGCAAGCCUGAUCCAGCCAUGCCGCGUGAGUGAUGAAGGCCUUAGGGUUGUAAAGCUCUUUCGUCCGGGACGAUAAUGACGGUACCGGAAGAAGAAGCCCCGGCUAACUUCGUGCCAGCAGCCGCGGUA